AUUGAACGCUGGCGGCAUGCUUUACACAUGCAAGUCGAACGGUAACAGGCCGCAAGGUUGUGCCUAGUGGCGGACGGGGGCGUAAUGCAUCGGAACGUACCCAGUCGUGGUGGUUCACUAGUGGUAACGUUGGCUAAUACCGCAUACGAUCUCAGGCUGCAAGCGGGGGACCGUAAGGGCUCGCGCGAUUUGAGCGGCCGAUGUCAGACUAGGUAGUUGGUGGGGUAAAGGCUCACCAAGCCCACGAUCUGUAGCUGGUCUGAGAGGACGAGCAGCCACACUGGGACUGAGACACGGCCCAGACUCCUACGGGAGGCAGCAGUGGGGAAUUUUGGACAAUGGGCGCAAGCCUGAUCCAGCAAUGCCGCGUGCAGGAAGAAGGCCUUCGGGUUGUAAAGUGCUUUUGUACGGAACGAAACGGCGCUGGUUAAUACCCGGGGGUAAUGACGGUACCGUAAGAAUAAGCACCGGCUAACUACGUG
Molecule: ribosomal RNA, 482 nt
Filed under: uncultured bacterium
Lineage: Bacteria
Description: partial 16S ribosomal RNA
Rfam family: Bacterial small subunit ribosomal RNA
Source: RNAcentral